This 449-nucleotide ribosomal RNA is filed under the name uncultured bacterium. Its description in RNAcentral is "bacterial SSU rRNA". It matches the Rfam family "Bacterial small subunit ribosomal RNA", at positions 354 to 796 of the family's 1533-position model. The record is from RNAcentral.
GUGGGGAAUAUUGGACAAUGGGCGAAAGCCUGAUCCAGCAAUACCGCGUGUGUGAAGAAGGCCUUAGGGUUGUAAAGCACUUUCAAUUGGGAGGAAAAAAUAGGCGUUAAUACCGUCUAUCUUGACAUUACCUUUAGAAGAAGCACCGGCUAACUCCGUGCCAGCAGCCGCGGUAAUACGGAGGGUGCGAGCGUUAAUCGGAAUUACUGGGCGUAAAGAGUGCGUAGGCGGCUCGUUAAGUCAGAUGUGAAAGCCCUGGGCUCAACCUGGGAACUGCAUUUGAAACUGGCGAGCUAGAGUUGAGUAGAGGUAAGUGGAAUUUCAGGUGUAGCGGUGAAAUGCGUAGAUAUCUGAAGGAACACCAGUGGCGAAGGCGACUUACUGGACUCAAACUGACGCUGAGGUACGAAAGCGUGGGUAGCAAACAGGAUUAGAUACCCCAGUAGUCC